Brachypodium distachyon (stiff brome) is the source of this 1005-nucleotide long non-coding RNA. RefSeq lists it as uncharacterized. The record is from RefSeq and is a predicted model, not a curated record. Lineage: Eukaryota; Viridiplantae; Streptophyta; Magnoliopsida; Poales; Poaceae. The transcript has 3 exons.
CAAAAAGGAGCAGGAGAGAGCCGCCCCGCUACAUGGAAGGAUGGAACGGCUCAAGGACAAAAAUACUUCCUCCUUUCCGUCCUAAAACGCAGGAAAGUUUCAAACCUCGGCAUGACAAUUUGGACUCCCGGAACUGGUGGGUUCACUGCUGAGAGCUUUGAGAUCCCACUCGGGGUUGCAUCAAUCUGCUCUUGUUUCUUGUUAAAAUCUUCCAAGCUAGGCGACAGCGGCGAGGGAAUCUGACGUUUGACAAGCGAACAGUAUGGGCUCGGUAUUUGACUUGAUGCCUGUCCAGUGGGGUGCAGCUACACAGAGAAAGCACGCACGGCUGGAUUUUAGAGCCGGCCUAUUAAAACUGAAUCUGUCUGGUUACUGAGUAUAUAUUGAUUAUCUCAAUGCUGCUGAUUAAAGGACGGAUAAUCUGAUCUUUCGAAAAAAGGAUGGAUAAUCGAUUACUUCCUGUUAUUUCUUAUUCAAACCAUGCAUUACGUGUGUUCAGAAACGAAGAUGAUAUUGCUGGUUCGAUCUGCACCGCACAGCGGCAGAACGAAUCCAGGCCUUUUUGGCCGCAAACUUAUGCUGAUUUUAUUUGUCUUGGUGCUGCAGAAUAUAUGGAGACUUAUGGCGCCCUGACGCAUUCCUUGGCCCGCCAGUGGGCGCAAAACCAACAUUGCGUGGCCAGAAACGAAAUACGAAGAUGAUUUAGCUCUUGGCAAGAGGACAACCUCCCGUUCAGGGCCAAGGGUGCCGACAAAGCAUCUACAGAAAUCGCAUGCAAAGUUGACAGAAAAUGACCUCCGGGAACGCGCAGAUUAACCUCAUUUUGCCAUUGCCCAAUGCGUGACCAAACCUGCACCGCGAACAGUCUUGACCACUUGAUCUAUCGCAUAAUUCAGCGUCCGCUAAUGUAACGCCAGGUCUCUCACAGAGAGAAGACGUGUGUUUCUGUUAGCUGACUGGAAACAUCUCAUCCACGCAGUCAUAUCAUAGGAUUCUCGAAGUGAU